RNAcentral lists this ribosomal RNA (460 nucleotides) under uncultured bacterium. Its description in RNAcentral is "partial 16S ribosomal RNA". It matches the Rfam family "Bacterial small subunit ribosomal RNA", at positions 338 to 795 of the family's 1533-position model. The record is from RNAcentral.
CCUACGGGUGGCAGCAGUGAGGAAUAUUGGUCAAUGGACGAGAGUCUGAACCAGCCAAGCAGCGUGAAGGAUGACUGCCCUAUGGGUUGUAAACUUCUUUUAUAUGGGAAUAAAAUGUUCCACGUGUGGGAUUUUGUAUGUACCAUAUGAAUAAGGAUCGGCUAACUCCGUGCCAGCAGCCGCGGUAAUACGGAGGAUCCGAGCGUUAUCCGGAUUUAUUGGGUUUAAAGGGAGCGUAGGUGGAUUGUUAAGUCAGUUGUGAAAGUUUGCGGCUCAACCGUAAAAUUGCAGUUGAAACUGGCAGUCUGGAGUACAGUAGAGGUGGGCGGAAUUCGUGGUGUAGCGGUGAAAUGCUUAGAUAUCACGAAGAACUCCGAUUGCGAAGGCAGCUCACUGGACUGCAACUGACACUGAUGCUCGAAAGUGUGGGUAUCAAACAGGAUUAGAUACCCCAGUAGUC